CUUACCUCCACUGUCAAGGACCAAGCUCCUUCCACUCUGCAACCUGGUGCAGUGUGUGGAAACACUUCAGCAUCCAUUCAACCUUCAUCCCCUUCCUUCCAGUCAGACAGGCAUGAAUCUCAAGGCAUUGCAUCAAAUACUAAAUAACACGUACAAUGACACUAUUUCUACUGGACCUUACUAAAACUCAUCAGCACCUUUAUUUUCGGAAACAAAAUGGCAUUCUAUAAAAAGAUACAAAACUUAUUCUCACUAAAGUGCUACAACUUGUCAAGUGAGAAAUUUCGAGGAAAAAAAAUAGCAAACAUGUUAACUACUUAUAAGAAAGUGAAAGACAGGCGCCGUGCAACUGGGGAAGGGAAGAUCACCUGGGAGUACUAUACACUAAUGGAUGAGUUAUUUGGGUCUUCGGGGAUCGGUACUGCACCAUCUGGCACCAUUCACUCCACACCUCUGGGUUUGGAUAAGACCUCUUCCACAAGCAGGCCCACGUCUUCUCUUCAAGACCAGCCGGUAGGUGCUAGUAUGGAUGAACAGCCAGGAACUGCUACCAUACAAAAAUGCAAACAUCACAAGAAGGCAAAGAUGACCACAACCCUUACAAUUCCUGGACACUUCUGAAGAGCAUGUAGAGAGAAGAACUGCUGUGCUUGAGUCCCUGGUAAGGCCAGAUCUGGAGAGAUGGCGGCGACUUAAGAAGAGGCGGAGAAGGCCCUUCGAAAAAAAGAUGGUGACCAGCUUGGGAACAAAUGUGGAGAAGCUAAAAAAAAAAAA
Long non-coding RNA from Carassius auratus (goldfish), 774 nucleotides. RefSeq lists it as uncharacterized. The transcript has 3 exons. The record is from RefSeq and is a predicted model, not a curated record. Lineage: Eukaryota; Metazoa; Chordata; Actinopteri; Cypriniformes; Cyprinidae.